Molecule: transfer RNA, 96 nt
Filed under: Rhizoctonia solani
Lineage: Eukaryota; Fungi; Basidiomycota; Agaricomycetes; Cantharellales; Ceratobasidiaceae
Rfam family: tRNA
About the family: Transfer RNA (tRNA) molecules are approximately 80 nucleotides in length. Their secondary structure includes four short double-helical elements and three loops (D, anti-codon, and T loops). Further hydrogen bonds mediate the characteristic L-shaped molecular structure. tRNAs have two regions of fundamental functional importance: the anti-codon, which is responsible for specific mRNA codon recognition, and the 3' end, to which the tRNAs corresponding amino acid is attached (by aminoacyl-tRNA synthetases). tRNAs cope with the degeneracy of the genetic code in two manners: having more than one tRNA (with a specific anti-codon) for a particular amino acid; and 'wobble' base-pairing, i.e. permitting non-standard base-pairing at the 3rd anti-codon position.
Source: Rfam by way of RNAcentral
ACGCCGUUGGUGAAAUGGUUAUCAUGCUUGCCUUCCAUUCGCUGAGAUUCUCUCACGAGACAGCAAGCGGCGGGGGUUCGAUUCCCCCACGGCGUA